AAAUUGAAGAGUUUGAUCAUGGCUCAGAUUGAACGCUGGCGGCAGGCCUAACACAUGCAAGUCGAACGGUAACAGAAAGCAGCUUGCUGCUUUGCUGACGAGUGGCGGACGGGUGAGUAAUGUCUGGGAAACUGCCUGAUGGAGGGGGAUAACUACUGGAAACGGUAGCUAAUACCGCAUAACGUCGCAAGACCAAAGAGGGGGACCUUCGGGCCUCUUGCCAUCGGAUGUGCCCAGAUGGGAUUAGCUUGUUGGUGGGGUAACGGCUCACCAAGGCGACGAUCCCUAGCUGGUCUGAGAGGAUGACCAGCCACACUGGAACUGAGACACGGUCCAGACUCCUACGGGAGGCAGCAGUGGGGAAUAUUGCACAAUGGGCGCAAGCCUGAUGCAGCCAUGCCGCGUGUAUGAAGAAGGCCUUCGGGUUGUAAAGUACUUUCAGCGGGGAGGAAGGGAGUAAAGUUAAUACCUUUGCUCAUUGACGUUACCC
This 490-nucleotide ribosomal RNA is filed under the name Escherichia coli. RNAcentral's name for it is "bacterial SSU rRNA". It matches the Rfam family "Bacterial small subunit ribosomal RNA", at positions 1 to 480 of the family's 1533-position model. Lineage: Bacteria; Pseudomonadati; Pseudomonadota; Gammaproteobacteria; Enterobacterales; Enterobacteriaceae. The record is from RNAcentral.